This 324-nucleotide ribosomal RNA is filed under the name uncultured eukaryote. Its description in RNAcentral is "partial 18S ribosomal RNA". It matches the Rfam family "Eukaryotic small subunit ribosomal RNA", at positions 1470 to 1796 of the family's 1831-position model. The record is from RNAcentral.
CCCCUAGAUGUUCUGGGCCGCACGCGCGCUACACUGAUGCAUUCAACGAGCACCCGCUGGGCCGAGAGGUCCGGCUAAUCUUUGAACGUGCAUCGUGCUGGGGAUAGAUGAUUGCAAUUAUUCAUCUUCAACGAGGAAUUCCUAGUAAACGCAAGUCAUCAGCUUGCAUUGAUUACGUCCCUGCCCUUUGUACACACCGCCCGUCGCACCUACCGAUUGAAUGGUCCGGUGAAAUUCUCGGACGCGGACUUGCGAUGUUAAUUCGGAGCUUGACUGUGAAAGUUAAUUAAACCUUACCAUUUAGAGGAAGGUGAAGUCGUAACA